GAUAAGGCAGAUACACCAAUAAAAAGCUUUGAAAUUAAAGAUAGUGAAGAAGAGGCAGAUAAUUAUAUGAAAAGCUUUUCAGUUAAAGACAGUAAAGAGGUGGCAGAUACAAAAAAAAGUUUCGUAGUAAAAGAUGGUAAAAGUAGGAUUUAAAAAAUUACUUUUUCAUUUAUAAAUGUUAGCGUUUUAUUUUAAAGUAUCGCUUGUUUUUUAGAGAAGGCAGAGAAACCAAUCCCCUUUGUAGUUAAAGAUAGUGAAGGUAUGUAUUAAAAACUUACCUAUUCAUUUAUAAUUGUUAGCGUUUUAUUUUAAAGUAUCGCUUGUUUUUUAGAGAAGGCAGAGAAACCAAUCCCCUUUGUAGUUGAAGAUAGUGAAGAGAUAGUAAAUAUAAGAAAAAGCUGCAUAGUUGAAGAUGCAGAAGUUUGCUGAAAAUUAUAUAAAUGGAGAAGAAUUGGUGCGUGUCUUUCCACAUGAAGAAGUGAAUGCAUACAGAAAGAGAGUG
Long non-coding RNA from Hydra vulgaris (swiftwater hydra), 502 nucleotides. RefSeq lists it as uncharacterized. Lineage: Eukaryota; Metazoa; Cnidaria; Hydrozoa; Anthoathecata; Hydridae. The record is from RefSeq and is a predicted model, not a curated record.